GAUGAACGCUGGCGGCGUGCCUAAUACACGCAAGUCGAGCGAACAGACGAGGAGCUUGCUCCUCUGACGUUAGCGGCGGACGGGUGAGUAACACGUGGAUAACCUACCUAUAAGACUGGGAUAACUUCGGGAAACCGGAGCUAAUACCGGAUAAUAUAUUGAACCGCAUGGUUCAAUAGUGAAAGACGGUUUUGCUGUCACUUAUAGAUGGAUCCGCGCCGCAUUAGCUAGUUGGUAAGGUAACGGCUUACCAAGGCGACGAUGCGUAGCCGACCUGAGAGGGUGAUCGGCCACACUGGAACUGAGACACGGUCCAGACUCCUACGGGAGGCAGCAGUAGGGAAUCUUCCGCAAUGGGCGAAAGCCUGACGGAGCAACGCCGCGUGAGUGAUGAAGGUCUUCGGAUCGUAAAACUCUGUUAUUAGGGAAGAACAAAUGUGUAAGUAACUAUGCACGUCUUGACGGUACCUAAUCAGAAGGCCACGGCUAACUACGUG
Molecule: ribosomal RNA, 497 nt
Filed under: uncultured bacterium
Lineage: Bacteria
Description: partial 16S ribosomal RNA
Rfam family: Bacterial small subunit ribosomal RNA
Source: RNAcentral